AAAGGCAAGACAGGAAGAAAUCAAGUGUUUAACAGAACAGUAUAAGUGGCUUAAACUAACUGUAUACCAAAAAACCAAAUCUUGAUGAUGUUGGAAUACACUUUUGGUUGAAAAAGGAAUAGUUAUUCCACCAGAAAAAAAAAUCCAAAACGUAACUAAAGUGGAAAACGCGAGACCAGAGGCAGAAAGAAAGUGGGAAAAAUGGGGCAUUUUACACAUUUGAAGUCACUAGAAUGUUAAGUUCUCUGAUGUAUCUACGAAUGACUUGGGGAGGCAAACAACCUUACUUGAGCAAACCCUACCCCCUAAAAUAACCAGGCACUGUGCUAAGAAUAGUAACAAUAUAUUCACUGUUUAUGUUGCAUUAGAGCCUGUAAACUUAAACCUGUAAUUAAUUUCCAUAUGAUGAUGAUGCUAAAAACAGCACUACUUUUUGUAAAGAGAGUCUGAAACAAAAUGUUGAUUUCAAUCGGAUGCUUAACAAACCUAGUUUGCAGUUUAACAGUAUUCACUUGAGUAAGGCUACCAAAGUGCUAUGUUAGCAUUUUGGAAGUGAAAAUUAUUUUAAGUAGUAACAUCAUUUCAGACUGAAUUUAUUUCCAGUGUUGGGCUAAUAAUUCCAUGGUUCCUCCAAAGGUCAAGCAUAGGCUUGAGAAAUCUGUUUCACUGUUAUUUUGCAUUUUCCCAUGUUAGGUAAAACUCACUUAUUAAAGAGCAAAACAGGAACACAAGCCUUGACAAAAUGAUUUUGUUUCAUAUAUAUUAACCAUUGUGCUGUUUCAGCAGAAAGUAAUGGAAGCAGAUUCAAACAGUCCUUAGCUGGUGGUCACACACUAAUUGGGGGGAUGGUAAUCCUGGUUCAAAUCCUCAUCUUUAUUAAUUUUCAGUGGUUUGUGGCAAUAGACUAUUCUCCUUGCUGAUCAGCAUCUUGAGCUUGCAUCUUCUCACGUUUCAGGCCAGUUUUUUUAAUCUUGAUGACCAAACAGGCCUGGUUUUGAUCUAAACUGGUAUUUUGACAGAUUCCACUUCCAGCAGCAUGACUCAAUAGCAUUUUUUUCUGCCUGGUACCAAAAAAAUUUUUUUAAACUAUAUAGAUAAUUGUGAAAUUAGACUGUUGCCUUUCAGAUAGCUCUAAAGUACAUUAAUGUACACUUCCAGUCUGUCAUAUAUAUUCUUCUAAAAGUGUAAUUUUUGUAAAUGUAUGCUUUUAUUUGAAGUUAAUUACUUAGUCCAUUUAAACAAAGAGCUGUAUCUCUAAAUAAUUACUGGAGACAAGUUGAAACUGCUUAACAUCUAAAAAAACCCCAGACCUCAGUACUCUUCAAAGUCCAGUAUUUUUUAAUGACAGAAAAAAUAUGCUGCAUUUAAAUUUCUUGUUCUUAAAUUUCAGAUUAUCAAGCAGAACCUUUCAAACCAAAAGGAACUGAAAGAACAUGCUAAAUUAUUUUGUACAAAACAGUAUGCUAGUCUCCUCUUAGAGGUUCCCUAUGGCUUGCAAUUUUAAUGACACAUUUUCAGCAUGUUGAACUGAACUUGGCCAAUGUAUUUAUUUUAAGGCACAAUAUAUUUAUUUUAAGGCACAAUCUGCCUUACUGACAUAAAUAUUUGCUUUUUGAUGAUGUGAAAUAGUCCACUCUAGCACAGAACUGCAAAUGGAUUUGAGGGUUCCUCUUCAUUCUCCUACAAAAAAACCCCAGAAUGUCAAAGCUGAAUGAACAUUGCUUCCUGUUUUAGAAAGUUUUAAAAUACUUUCUCUGUGCUUUCAGAGUCAAACUGGCAAAACAGAUAGUGCUUAGAAAAAUAAAGCAGUGAAUAAAAUCUUUGUGGUAUCUGCUUGCAAGAACAGAGCUGUUGAUUUUUCUCCUUUUAUAUUCUGGAGAAGACUGAUUGAAUAUUAGAAUAAUUAGUAAGCUACAUCUGUUGAAACAACAGAUGCUGGAAGUGUACUGCAUGGCAAAGCAAAUUUUAUUGCAUAAGCCAGUAAAAGUCACCUGGGAAAGGCAGAAAAAUCUCUGGGGGGUGGAAGGUGGAAUUAAGCCUUUCAUUAACCUUUCUUGUUUUUUCCAGAGCAAAUGGCUAAGCAGAAUAAUGGUGAGGGAGUCUUCCCCCUUGGGAAAUCACCUCCCGCUGACCAAGUAUGCAGUCUGAUUGGAGAACCAUACAGCACUCUUCAGCUGUGAAAACUGAUGAUGCAGAAACCUCUGCCCACAGGUUCCAGAAGAAAAACUACGUCCUAAUUCUAACUCUCCAAGAGAUCUAACAUUACCGUUCCUGUAGUUUUCAGUUACUUCUGUCCUCUCCAUCUGUUUAUCAAAUGACCUCCCAUUUGCCUUCUUAUUUCUCAAACUUCAGCUUCCUGCCACCUUGUAUGAAGCACUGAGUGUUUGUUGUCAUGCAAAUGCUCUGUGUAUACACAUAUAUAUGUAUACGCAUAGAGAGCAAACCUCAGCUCUGACAGCAGGCAGCUACGUAUCAGAGAAGUGUAUUAGCCUCUAGGGGAGGGGAUUCACAGUUUUAUUUUAGUAGGAAGUAACAAACCUGCAUGUUGCUGGGCAUCUUUUGAAUUGAUAUGGCACUUGAAGUGGCUUUGGGUAAACUAAGGAGUAAGCCGAAAUUUAACAAUGCACUCUGCUACAGGCAGAUGCCCCACUGAAUGCUAUAAUUAGUUAUAAAGAGUGGUAAGUGCUAAGCUGAGCCCAAAUAAUUUCUUUUUAACUUAUAUUCCUCUUCUUAUCCUUUCCCCUAUCCAGACCAGCUCUGUUCCAAAAUGACUGCUUGUUAGAGGGAGAAAACAACUUGGCACACAUGUUCUGACUUUGUAUUCUUUAAGAUUUACCUGGACAUUAAACUCUCAUGUACUUGUUUUGUGGAAGAGUGUUUUUCAGUGACUAAGGCUCCAUAUUUAUUCUUUUCUGUGAAAAGCCUCAAUCCAGUCCAUCACAGGACAGGACGAUUGUAGCAUGAACAAGGUUAAGAUCAGGAAGGAAGACUGGUGUGCUGCUGCUCUUAAAUAAUUUAUUACCUGCUUCAAAAUUUUAUCAAGGUUCCUUUUGUAAUUUCUUAUUCCUGGAAAAUGCUUGAAUCCCACCCCUGCCCCUCAAGAACCCUAAUGAUGUUACUUUUCUCCAUCCACUGAUUUUUUGGUGUACGUGUGUUCUGCUAGGCUGGCCAGCUGGAACCAGAGAAAUUAAGUCUGUUACACUAGCAUUACAUAGUUGUUUAUGUAUUUUCUCUGUGCAUGUAACACCUCUUAUGAUUUCUAUGCAGAAUCAAAUGGUGCAGCACAUCAAGAAUGAGCUAACUCAUUAGCAAAACCUUCUAAAUGUGGGAAAAUAAUAAACGGUCAGUUAUUGAUGCCAAUAUGAUCUCUGCUCUGACAGGCUGCAUAGUAUUUGCAUUACCCUGGCUUCUGAAAACAACAGACAAUAGGCUCAAGAGGAUAAUCAGGACAUUUCAGGAGAAAUCUGAGACAUAUGUAUAUUGCCAAUGCAAAGAAUUUGCUUAUGAAACUAGGAAGUAAGAUCAUAGAAGUAAGACUUUAUUAUUUGCAAAUAUUUAUCUUGAAAAAUACUGAAAGCUAUUGGCAUUUGUAUAAAAUGACAACAUUUGUUGUUUUGCUUUUCUCCUUUAAUUGCAGAGACUGUUUAAAAUCCUGUCACUUAAAUUAGUGGUCAACACUGCUGUUUAAGGCUGAACAAAGGAUUAAAUUUAGAGAGCAUUCUAAAGGUAUUUUAUUUAAAUGAUUUGUUAUGGAAAAAUCAUCUUCAGGACUCAAAACAUGAGCAAAUAGGAAUUUAACUUCAUCAGUUUUAAGGUUGCUGUCUGAAUCAUAAGCUUUAUGACAACACUUCUUUUAGAGUUUAGAAGUUCUAACUAUAUUGCUGCUAGCUAGGAGCAAAUACAGUGAGUAAAAUAUUUCAUCAGCAUUAGCACAGUUCAUGACGCAAGUCCUGCCUACUGGAAUCUUAACUAGGUAAGCCCCUCAGUUUGCAGUGCCUGCACAUAUACCCAGUGAGGCUUCAAAAUCACAAAAGCUACCAUAGGCAGCAGGUAUGUGUUCUGCAACAACAUUAGGAUUAAAAUGAUUUAAGGAGGAAGAGGUUAAGUUACAGUUCAGGUGGUACAAACUCUUCUCCAUCUGAAGACACAGUCCUAGCCACAGGGAAGUAGCAGGCAGAGAGGGAAAAACCUCUUUUCCUGCAUCACCUUGCACCUUCAGGAGGAAGGGAAAAAGCAAAGAGAAAGUUCUGAAGGGUCAGUCUGCUCUCUCAUCCUUUGCUCACACACUACCACUACCUUCCUGCCCUGUACCGGCCUGCAGCCCUAGGUAGCCAAAUACUUCUUAUGUUCUAACAGAUUAAAAGCACUGCAUCUUUUGCUUCAACUUACCUUUUCCCUUAUUUCAAGUUUUCUGAGUAAAAAAUAACAGUUGACCACAGAUUCCAGUGUAUCAGAAAAAACAGGUUUUAAGAGGGAAUGGC
Molecule: long non-coding RNA, 4481 nt
Organism: Athene cunicularia (burrowing owl)
Lineage: Eukaryota; Metazoa; Chordata; Aves; Strigiformes; Strigidae
Exons: 3
Source: RefSeq, a predicted model, not a curated record